Molecule: ribosomal RNA, 266 nt
Filed under: Monacha obstructa
Lineage: Eukaryota; Metazoa; Mollusca; Gastropoda; Stylommatophora; Hygromiidae
Description: partial 18S ribosomal RNA
Source: RNAcentral
UCUGGGAAAGGGCUUGACGUCAUCACGGCGGCGUUCCCACUGGUGGGUAUCACGGAUAACUUUGUUCCGCCGUUGAUCGCAUGGCCUUGGCGAGGCGAGGGGCGACGCAUCUUUCAAAUGUCUGCCCUAUCAAAUGUCGAUGGUACGUGACAUGCCUACCAUGUUGUAUCUCUGGGCUCAUCUACAUCAGGGUUCGAUUCCGGAGCGCCAUGGACUGAGAAACGGCUACCACAUCCAAGGAAGGCAUCAGGCGCUCAACAAGGCCG